GGGUUGUGAGGUUAAGCGACUAAGCGUACACGGUGGAUGCCCUGGCAGUCAGAGGCGAUGAAGGACGUGCUAAUCUGCGAUAAGCGUCGGUAAGGUGAUAUGAACCGUUAUAACCGGCGAUUUCCGAAUGGGGAAACCCAGUGUGAUUCGUCACACUAUCAUUAACUGAAUCCAUAGGUUAAUGAGGCGAACCGGGGGAACUGAAACAUCUAAGUACCCCGAGGAAAAGAAAUCAACCGAGAUUCCCCAGUAGCGGCGAGCGAACGGGGAGCAGCCCAGAGCCUGAAUCAGUAUGUGUGUUAGUGGAAGCGUCUGGAAAGGCGCGCGAUACAGGGUGACAGCCCCGUACACAAAAAUGCACAUGCUGUGAGCUCGAUGAGUAGGGCGGGACACGUGGUAUCCUGUCUGAAUAUGGGGGGACCAUCCUCCAAGGCUAAAUACUCCUGACUGACCGAUAGUGAACCAGUACCGUGAGGGAAAGGCGAAAAGAACCCCGGCGAGGGGAGUGAAAAAGAACCUGAAACCGUGUACGUACAAGCAGUGGGAGCACAGAGCAAUCUGUGUGACUGCGUACCUUUUGUAUAAUGGGUCAGCGACUUAUAUUCUGUAGCAAGGUUAACCGAAUAGGGGAGCCGAAGGGAAACCGAGUCUUAACUGGGCGUUAAGUUGCAGGGUAUAGACCCGAAACCCGGUGAUCUAGCCAUGGGCAGGUUGAAGGUUGGGUAACACUAACUGGAGGACCGAACCGACUAAUGUUGAAAAAUUAGCGGAUGACUUGUGGCUGGGGGUGAAAGGCCAAUCAAACCGGGAGAUAGCUGGUUCUCCCCGAAAGCUAUUUAGGUAGCGCCUCGUGAAUUCAUCUCCGGGGGUAGAGCACUGUUUCGGCAAGGGGGUCAUCCCGACUUACCAACCCGAUGCAAACUGCGAAUACCGGAGAAUGUUAUCACGGGAGACACACGGCGGGUGCUAACGUCCGUCGUGAAGAGGGAAACAACCCAGACCGCCAGCUAAGGUCCCAAAGUCAUGGUUAAGUGGGAAACGAUGUGGGAAGGCCCAGACAGCCAGGAUGUUGGCUUAGAAGCAGCCAUCAUUUAAAGAAAGCGUAAUAGCUCACUGGUCGAGUCGGCCUGCGCGGAAGAUGUAACGGGGCUAAACCAUGCACCGAAGCUGCGGCAGCGACGCUUAUGCGUUGUUGGGUAGGGGAGCGUUCUGUAAGCCUGUGAAGGUGUGCUGUGAGGCAUGCUGGAGGUAUCAGAAGUGCGAAUGCUGACAUAAGUAACGAUAAAGCGGGUGAAAAGCCCGCUCGCCGGAAGACCAAGGGUUCCUGUCCAACGUUAAUCGGGGCAGGGUGAGUCGACCCCUAAGGCGAGGCCGAAAGGCGUAGUCGAUGGGAAACAGGUUAAUAUUCCUGUACUUGGUGUUACUGCGAAGGGGGGACGGAGAAGGCUAUGUUGGCCGGGCGACGGUUGUCCCGGUUUAAGCGUGUAGGCUGGUUUUCCAGGCAAAUCCGGAAAAUCAAGGCUGAGGCGUGAUGACGAGGCACUACGGUGCUGAAGCAACAAAUGCCCUGCUUCCAGGAAAAGCCUCUAAGCAUCAGGUAACAUCAAAUCGUACCCCAAACCGACACAGGUGGUCAGGUAGAGAAUACCAAGGCGCUUGAGAGAACUCGGGUGAAGGAACUAGGCAAAAUGGUGCCGUAACUUCGGGAGAAGGCACGCUGAUAUGUAGGUGAAGUCCCUCGCGGAUGGAGCUGAAAUCAGUCGAAGAUACCAGCUGGCUGCAACUGUUUAUUAAAAACACAGCACUGUGCAAACACGAAAGUGGACGUAUACGGUGUGACGCCUGCCCGGUGCCGGAAGGUUAAUUGAUGGGGUCAGCGCAAGCGAAGCUCUUGAUCGAAGCCCCGGUAAACGGCGGCCGUAACUAUAACGGUCCUAAGGUAGCGAAAUUCCUUGUCGGGUAAGUUCCGACCUGCACGAAUGGCGUAAUGAUGGCCAGGCUGUCUCCACCCGAGACUCAGUGAAAUUGAACUCGCUGUGAAGAUGCAGUGUACCCGCGGCAAGACGGAAAGACCCCGUGAACCUUUACUAUAGCUUGACACUGAACAUUGAGCCUUGAUGUGUAGGAUAGGUGGGAGGCUUGGAAGUGUGGACGCCAGUCUGCAUGGAGCCGACCUUGAAAUACCACCCUUUAAUGUUUGAUGUUCUAACGUUGACCCGUAAUCCGGGUUGCGGACAGUGUCUGGUGGGUAGUUUGACUGGGGCGGUCUCCUCCUAAAGAGUAACGGAGGAGCACGAAGGUUGGCUAAUCCUGGUCGGACAUCAGGAGGUUAGUGCAAUGGCAUAAGCCAGCUUGACUGCGAGCGUGACGGCGCGAGCAGGUGCGAAAGCAGGUCAUAGUGAUCCGGUGGUUCUGAAUGGAAGGGCCAUCGCUCAACGGAUAAAAGGUACUCCGGGGAUAACAGGCUGAUACCGCCCAAGAGUUCAUAUCGACGGCGGUGUUUGGCACCUCGAUGUCGGCUCAUCACAUCCUGGGGCUGAAGUAGGUCCCAAGGGUAUGGCUGUUCGCCAUUUAAAGUGGUACGCGAGCUGGGUUUAGAACGUCGUGAGACAGUUCGGUCCCUAUCUGCCGUGGGCGCUGGAGAACUGAGGGGGGCUGCUCCUAGUACGAGAGGACCGGAGUGGACGCAUCACUGGUGUUCGGGUUGUCAUGCCAAUGGCACUGCCCGGUAGCUAAAUGCGGAAGAGAUAAGUGCUGAAAGCAUCUAAGCACGAAACUUGCCCCGAGAUGAGUUCUCCCUGACUCCUUGAGAGUCCUGAAGGAACGUUGAAGACGACGACGUUGAUAGGCCGGGUGUGUAAGCGCAGCGAUGCGUUGAGCUAACCGGUACUAAUGAACCGUGAGGCUUAACCUUACAACGCCGAAGGUGUUU
Molecule: ribosomal RNA, 2932 nt
Filed under: Escherichia coli O26 str. RM10386
Lineage: Bacteria; Pseudomonadati; Pseudomonadota; Gammaproteobacteria; Enterobacterales; Enterobacteriaceae
Description: bacterial LSU rRNA
Rfam family: Bacterial large subunit ribosomal RNA
Source: RNAcentral